RNA transcript from Notolabrus celidotus (New Zealand spotty), 5500 nucleotides. It is a transcript of the gene named ATP-binding cassette, sub-family C (CFTR/MRP), member 4, with no coding region annotated. The transcript has 31 exons. The record is from RefSeq and is a predicted model, not a curated record. NCBI's taxonomy places the organism in Eukaryota, Metazoa, Chordata, Actinopteri, Labriformes, Labridae.
CACCGCUCGGUAGGCGGGGUCACGGCGUUCACCUGACAGCAAAACUGUCGUCUCCUGAAGUAAUCCCGUCCUGCGCGUCAGAUAGGUGUAAUAUUGACAGACGUUGGAGUUUACUACAGCUGCUCUCUCAGUUUCCACCUCCGAGUCUUUAUCGACCUCCCUGUGCCACACAGCCUGCAGAGAAAGUCUCCAGGUCGCCUGCACAGUUUGGGGGGCAUGGAGCCUCGGCGGAAGGAGGAGAAGGAUAAUCCGUCGGUUUCAGCUAAUCUUCUCUCCAAGAUUUUCUUCUGCUGGCUGAAUCCCUUGUUUAAACUUGGGUACAAGAGGAAGUUGGAAGAAGAUGACAUGUUUCAAGUUCUCCCAGAGGAUGCAUCAGAACGACUUGGGGAGGAGCUACAGUGCUGCUGGAACAGAGAGGUUCAGCAGGCAGCGAAGGACCUGCACCCACCAAGUCUGACUAAAGCUCUUGUUGAAUGCUACUGGAGGCCGUACUCCCUCAUUGGAAUUUACAUCUUUGUAGAGGAAGUUUUCAAAGUCAUUCAGCCAGUCCUACUCGGGAAAAUGAUCGAGUACUUCGAGCGUUAUGACCCCACCAACACAGCCGCCACAUAUGAGGCCUACGGCUACGCUGCAGGAAUCUCCCUGUCAACCAUCGCUGUCACCGUCCUUCAUCAUCUCUAUUUCUACCAUGUUCAGCGUGCAGGCAUGAAGAUUCGUGUGGCCAUGUCUCACAUGAUCUAUAGGAAGGCUCUUUUUCUUAGCAGCAAAGCACUGGCCAAAACCACCACAGGACACGUUGUAAACCUGUUAUCCAAUGAUGUCAACAAAUUUGAUGAGAUAACCUUAUAUUUGCACUUUCUAUGGAUUGGUCCUCUACAAGCAGGGACUGUAGUAAUAUUGUUGCUGUAUGCAAUCGGCCCAUCAUGCCUUGCGGGAAUGGCUGUCCUCUUUAUCUUGAUGCCAAUACAGACUAUGUUUGGGCACUUGUUCUCCAGUCUCAGGGCUCAAACAGCUGUCUUAACAGAUGACAGAAUACGCAUGAUGAAUGAAGUCAUUACUGGGAUCAGGGUUAUAAAGAUGUAUGGGUGGGAGAAGCCUUUUGCUGCAUUGGUUCAUGAGGUCAGGAGACUUGAAAUCUCAAAGAUCAUGAAAAGCUCGUACCUGCGAGGGCUGAACAUGGCAUCGUUCUUUGUGGGAAGCAAGAUCGUAAUUUUCAUCACCGUCUGUGUCUACGUACUGACAGGCAACACGUUGACAGCUAGCAGCGUGUUCAUGGCUGUCUCCCUCUACGGGGCGGUCAGACUCACUAUCACGCUCUUCUUUCCCUUUGCCAUAGAAAAGGUCUCUGAGUCUCUCAUCAGCAUCAGAAGGAUACAGAAUUUUCUCCUGCUUGAUGAAGUUGCUCCUCAGCAUCUGGGUCUCCCUGUGGCAGAGAAAGAGUGCAUGGUGGAGAUUCAGGAUUUGAUGUGCUACUGGGAUAAGAUGCUAGAGGCUCCAACUUUACAGAGCGUGUCGUUCACAGUGAAGACAGAGCAACUCCUGGCAGUAAUUGGACCUGUUGGUGCUGGAAAGUCUUCCCUCCUCAAUGCCAUCCUGGGAGAACUGAGUCAGGAGAGCGGCGUUGUAAAGGUCAAGGGAGGGCUGAUGUACACGUCUCAGCUGCCUUGGAUUUUACCUGGAACAAUUCGAAGCAACAUCCUGUUUGGAAAAGAGCUCGACCCCAAUAAGUACAACAGAGUUCUGGGAGCCUGCGCCCUCAAGAGAGAUAUGGACCUGUUACCAGGUGGUGACCUGGCGUUAGUUGGAGACAGAGGGGCCAACCUUAGCGGAGGUCAGAAGGCAAGAGUCAGCUUAGCAAGAGCUGUGUAUCAGGAUGCAGAUAUCUACCUGCUGGAUGACCCACUCAGUGCUGUGGAUGCUGAGGUGGGGCGACACCUCUUUGAAGAAUGUAUUUGUGGACUUCUAAAAAAGAAGCCUCGUAUCCUGGUUACUCAUCAGCUGCAGUACCUGAAAGCUGCAGAUCAGAUUGUUGUCUUGAAAGAGGGUCAGAUGGUGGCAUGUGGGACCUUCAGUGAGUUGCAGAACUCUGGACUGGACUUUAUCUCUCUGCUGAAGGAGGAGGAGGACAAGGAGGAGGCGAGGCAGGGCACGAGCUCAAUUCCUGGGAGUCUCUCUCGCUGUGCCCAUUCGCUCUCUGACAACUCAAAGUCCUCUAUGUCCACCCUCUCCUCCUCUCAGUACUCUUUGAUUGAGGGAGCAGAGCCACUUCAAGUGGUAGUGCAACAUGCGGAGGAAGAACGUCGCUCAGAAGGAAACGUCGGCCUGCGUAUGUAUAUGAGAUAUUUCAGAGCAGGUGCUAACUUCCUGGUCCUCCUGGUCCUCCUUUUACUCAAUGCCCUAGCACAUAUUACAUUUGUUCUACAGGACUGGUGGCUGGCUUGCUGGGCCUCUGAACAGAAGCACAUCAAUGUGACAGAGCACCUCAAUGGCAGCUUCCCUCGGCAGCUGGACCUUGACCUGUACCUAGGUGUUUACGCAGGUUUAACAGCCACUUCAGUAGUGUUUGGCUUCCUCCGCACCUUGGUCUUCUUUAAUGUCCUGGUGAGCUCGGCUCAGACCUUACACAGCCGCAUGUUUAAUGCCAUCCUCCAGACCCCCGUCCACUUUUUCGACGUCAAUCCAAUCGGAAGGAUCCUCAACAGGUUCUCAAAGGACAUCGGUUACCUGGACUCUCUGCUCCCAUGGACGUUUGUGGACUUUAUCCAGGUGUUUCUUCAAGUCAUUGGUGUGAUUGCAGUAGCGGCCGUCAUCAUUCCCUGGAUCCUCGUUCCUGUUGCUCCCCUCCUGGCUGUCUUUUUAUUCCUGAGAUGUUACUUCCUGAAGACCUCCAGAGACAUCAAGCGCCUGGAGUCUACCACUCGGAGUCCAGUGUUCUCCCACCUUUCCUCAUCUCUCCAAGGCCUGAGCACCAUCCGUGCCUUCAAAGUUCAGCAGAGAUUUCAGCAGCUGUUUGAUGAUUAUCAAAACCUUCAUUCUGAGGCCUGGUUCUUAUUCCUGACGACUUCUCGCUGGUUUGCCGUCCGUCUUGAUGCAAUUUGCUCCAUUUUCGUCACCAUUACUGCUUUUGGCUGCCUUUUCCUCAGGGAGGGACUGGAACCAGGUGCAGUGGGUCUGGCCCUGUCUUAUGCUGUGACGCUGACAGGCAUGUUCCAGUGGGGUGUCAGACAGAGCGCAGAAAUCGAGAACAUGAUGACUUCGGUGGAGAGAGUUGUUGAGUAUGCAGAGCUGGAGAGUGAAGCUCCCUGGGAGACAGACAAACAGCCUCCACCUGACUGGCCGCACACAGGCUCCAUCACCUUCGACAGAGUCAACUUCUCCUACAGCGCCAAUGCACCUUUGGUCCUGAAGAACCUCACUGUUGUCUUCACGCCCAGAGAGAAGGUUGGCAUCGUUGGACGCACAGGUGCUGGUAAAAGUUCUCUGAUCUCUGCCUUGUUCCGGCUGGCAGAACCUGAGGGGAGAAUAAUGAUCGAUGGCUUCCUAACUUCUGAGAUCGGUCUACACACCCUGCGCCAGAAAAUGUCCAUCAUCCCACAGGACCCAGUUCUCUUCACGGGCACCGUGAGGAAGAAUCUGGACCCUUUCAGGCAGCACACAGAUGAGGACCUGUGGAAUGCACUCCAAGAGGUACUCCAGCGUGGCUCUGAAUGAUUCCCUCUCGCCGGCCCAGGGGGGGAUCCCUCUGUCCCCCUGUACAAUGCUGCCAUUCAGCCUCCCUGCUCGCCACAAGUCAUGGGGGGAAAUCCCAUUAGGGCCAUGGGGCCCAGCUCAAUGUGCGGCUUGUAACUGGGAACCAUUGAAAGUGCUGGGGGAGAUGUGUUUGGGCAGUCAGGCCAACCAGGAUGAAGGCUCCCCCCACAGUGAAGGGCUUCAGCUCCUGGUCCUGCCUCUGAAUGGGUUUGGUGGCCUGGAUUAAAGCUAGAGGCUAGCCACAAGAGAGCACUGGCCAAGGUCAUCAGUGGACCUGGCCCUGCAUUGUGCCAGGCGGUUAAUGGGUGCAGAUGAAGGCCGUGGUGGAGGACCUGCCCAAUAAGCUGGAGACGGUGCUGACCGAGUCGGGCUCCAACUUCAGUGUGGGCCAGAGGCAGCUGGUGUGUCUGGCCAGGGCCAUCCUCCGUAAAAACCGCAUCCUCAUCAUUGAUGAGGCCACAGCUAACGUGGACCCGAGAACUGACAGCCUUAUCCAGCAGACGAUCCGGGACAAGUUUCAAGAGUGUACCGUCCUCACCAUCGCUCACAGGCUCAACACGAUCAUUGACUGUGACAGAAUACUGGUUCUAGGCGCAGGCAGGAUCCAGGAGUAUGACCAGCCGUAUGUGCUGCUGCAGAACCAGGACGGGCUCUUCUACCAGAUGGUCCAACAGACAGGCAGAGCUGAGGCUGCCUCGCUGCUGCACACAGCCAAACAGGUUUACACGAACAAAAAGCGGGUGACAGACGUGCACUGUGCCAAGGACAUCUGUGUCAUCUUUGAGACGUCUCUUUGACACGGAGGGUGGAGAGGCGCUGCGGCCCCUGGCUGACCAAAUCUUUUACCAUGAUGUACCUAGAUUCCUCUCUGUGUAUUAAAAUCUCUUAAUAACCCCCCAGCAGGCCGAGUGUAGUGUGCAGCAUUUGAUUGGCACAGUCCUUUAGUGUGCAAGAGAAGUAUCUGAAGCAGGAUGUGCCUUUAUUGACAGCAUAUUACUGCACGGCUCUUUAUUGAUUGCACCCUGCUAUGUUUAUGCAUGAGCACUCCGGCCUCUUGGGUAGCUUCAAUCCUGCACUGGUGCUCAAAAGGACUGCACAUAUUGGACGUGUUAAUCCUGCUGCAAUAAAUUAUUGUUGGCUUGAAUCAUUCUUUUAUGGCUGACAUUGUUCCAAAGCAGGACUGCAGUCUUUUGAUUAUUUGGAAAACGCUUGAAAAAGACAAGAAGAGCCUGAGAGAAGACAGAAAUGUUCUCAGUAAUUAUUGUGCCUUAAUCAGACCAUUGAUUUUUUUUUUUGUAAUUGCACUGUGUUAAUUGAGUAGUCUUCCAGCACUUUGAUGAUAGUGGUUUUAUGUCUACCUCAGCUCUUGUAAGGAUUAAAUGGUAAAAGUUUAAAUGAAGCAUGUCACGUACCGGCAAUGAUAAUGAGUAACUCCAUGAAGGUGGGGGAAAAGUUCGGAGUUUGUUGCCUCUAAAAUCUUUUCUUGAUGUCGUUUGAAAUUGCUCUUUUACUCUUUUGAUAAAUGGGGCACUGUCGCUUUAAAUGCAACAACUUCAAACUGUGAUACAAGGUUUAGCAUGACUGUUACAGCCAUACAGUUGGUAUCUUUCUUGCUUUAAUUCCUUAUAAACCUGAUUGAGUCGUAUUCAAACAUGUCAUCUUUUUUGCACUUUGUCGACUAGUUACUGAAAAUCUGAGCGCAGCAAAUUGAAGUGAAGUUUUGUUCAAUAAAACAUUGUGUCAAAAUGUU